GACGAACGCUGGCGGCGUGCUUAACACAUGCAAGUCGAACGGAAAGGCCCUGCUUUUGUGGGGUGCUCGAGUGGCGAAUGGGUGAGUAACACGUGAGUAACCUGCCCUUGACUUUGGGAUAACUUCAGGAAACUUGGGCUAAUACCGGAUAGGAGCUCCUGCUGCAUGGUGGGGGUUGGAAAGUUUCGGCGGUUGGGGAUGGACUCGCGGCUUAUCAGCUUGUUGGUGGGGUAGUGGCUUACCAAGGCUUUGACGGGUAGCCGGCCUGAGAGGGUGACCGGCCACAUUGGGACUGAGAUACGGCCCAGACUCCUACGGGAGGCAGCAGUGGGGAAUAUUGCACAAUGGGCGGAAGCCUGAUGCAGCAACGCCGCGUGCGGGAUGACGGCCUUCGGGUUGUAAACCGCUUUCGCCUGUGACGAAGCGUGAGUGACGGUAAUGGGUAAAGAAGCACCGGCUAACUACGUG
RNAcentral lists this ribosomal RNA (468 nucleotides) under uncultured bacterium. Its description in RNAcentral is "partial 16S ribosomal RNA". It matches the Rfam family "Bacterial small subunit ribosomal RNA", at positions 28 to 507 of the family's 1533-position model. The record is from RNAcentral.